CGUAGGGGCGAGCGUUGUCCGGAAUUAUUGGGGCGUAAAGCGCGCGCAGGCGGUCUUUAAGUCUGAUGUGAAAUCUUACGGCUUAACCGUAAGCGGUCAUUGGAAACUGGGAGACUUGAGUGCAGAAGAGGAGAGUGGAAUUCCACGUGUAGCGGUGAAAUGCGUAGAGAUGUGGAGGAACACCAGUGGCGAAGGCGACUCUCUGGUCUGUAACUGACGCUGAGGUGCGAAAGCGUGGGUAGCGAACAGGAUU
This 253-nucleotide ribosomal RNA is filed under the name uncultured bacterium. RNAcentral describes it as "partial 16S ribosomal RNA". It matches the Rfam family "Bacterial small subunit ribosomal RNA", at positions 526 to 779 of the family's 1533-position model. The record is from RNAcentral.